This 407-nucleotide ribosomal RNA is filed under the name uncultured bacterium. Its description in RNAcentral is "partial 16S ribosomal RNA". It matches the Rfam family "Bacterial small subunit ribosomal RNA", at positions 28 to 526 of the family's 1533-position model. The record is from RNAcentral.
GACGAACGCUGGCGGCGUGCCUAAUACAUGCAAGUAGGACGCAGUUGCGAACGGGUGAGUAACGCGUAGGUAACUGCCUAUUAGAGGGGGAUAACUAUUGGAAACGAUAGCUAAUACCGCAUACUAGUAGAUGGACCUGCGUUGUAUUAGCUAGUAGGUAGGGUAAUGGCCUACCUAGGCGACGAUACAUAGCCGACCCUAGAUGGUGAUCCGCCACACUGGGACUGAGACACGGCCCCGACUCCCACGGGAGGCAGCAGUAGGGAAUCUUCGGAAAUGGGGUGAACCCUGACCGAGCAACGCCGCGGGGGUGAAGAAGGUUUUCGGAGCGUAAAGCUCUGUUGGUAAGGAAGCGGUACUUAACCAGAAAGGGACGGCUAACUACGUGCCAGCAGCCGCGGUAAUUC